UCGGGAAUUUUGCCCAAUGGACGAAAGUCUGAGGCAGCAACUCCGCGUGAGGGACGAAGGCUCUAGGGUCGUAAACCUCUUUUCUCAGGGAAGAUCCAAGACGGUACCUGAGGAAUAAGCGACGGCUAACUACGCGCCAGCAGCCGCGGUAAUACGUAGGUCGCAAGCGUUGUCCGGAUUUACUGGGAGUAAAGAGCGCGCAGGCGGCUGGUCAAGUCCGAUGUGAAAUCUCCCGGCUCAACUGGGAAACUGCAUCGGAAACUGAUCGGCUUGAAGGUGGGAGAGGGUAGUGGAAUUCCCGGUGUAGUGGUGAAAUGCGUAGAUAUCGGGAGGAACACCAGUGGCGAAGGCGACUACCUGGCCCAUUCUUGACGCUGAGGCGCGAAAGCUAGGGGAGCGAACGGG
This 405-nucleotide ribosomal RNA is filed under the name Bacillota bacterium. RNAcentral's name for it is "Firmicutes bacterium partial 16S ribosomal RNA". It matches the Rfam family "Bacterial small subunit ribosomal RNA", at positions 355 to 776 of the family's 1533-position model. The record is from RNAcentral. Lineage: Bacteria; Bacillati; Bacillota.